This 451-nucleotide ribosomal RNA is filed under the name uncultured bacterium. RNAcentral describes it as "partial 16S ribosomal RNA". It matches the Rfam family "Bacterial small subunit ribosomal RNA", at positions 354 to 796 of the family's 1533-position model. The record is from RNAcentral.
GUGGGGAAUAUUGGACAAUGGGGGGAACCCUGAUCCAGCCAUGCCGCGUGUGUGAAGAAGGCCUUUUGGUUGUAAAGCACUUUAAGCGAGGAGGAGGCUACCGAGAUUAAUACUCUUGGAUAGUGGACGUUACUCGCAGAAUAAGCACCGGCUAACUCUGUGCCAGCAGCCGCGGUAAUACAGAGGGUGCAAGCGUUAAUCGGAUUUACUGGGCGUAAAGCGCGCGUAGGUGGCCAAUUAAGUCAAAUGUGAAAUCCCCGAGCGUAAAUUGGGAAUUGCAUUCGAUACUGGUUGGCUAGAGUAGGGGAGAGGAUGGUAGAAUUCCAGGUGUAGCGGUGAAAUGCGUAGAGAUCUGGAGGAAUACCGAUGGCGAAGGCAGCCAUCUGGCCUAAUACUGACACUGAGGUGCGAAAGCAUGGGGAGCAAACAGGAUUAGAUACCCGAGUAGUCC